This 1344-nucleotide ribosomal RNA is filed under the name Lepanus sp. NT3. Its description in RNAcentral is "partial large subunit ribosomal RNA". The record is from RNAcentral. Lineage: Eukaryota; Metazoa; Arthropoda; Insecta; Coleoptera; Scarabaeidae.
UGGAACCUGUCCUAUAAUUGAUGAUCCACGAUUAAUUGUACUUAAAUUAAAAGUUUAUAUAUCGUCGUAGUUGAAUACCUUAUAAGAGUUAAAGUAUUCAUUAUUUAAAAUUUAAUAAAUUAAAUCAGAUCAAGAUAUAGCAUAUAUUUAAGAAGAGAUGGGUUACAAUAAAUUUAUUUAUGGAUAUAAUAAUUAAAAUUAUUAUUGAAAUUGGAUUUGAAAGUAAUAUUUUUUAAUUUAAAAGUAUGAUUAAAGCUCUAAAAUAUGCACAUAUCGCCCGUCGCUUCCAAUGAAAAUUAAAUUGGAAUAAGUCGUAACAUAGUAGGCGUACCGGAAGGUGUGCCUAGAUUUACAAAUUAAAGCUUAAUAGAAGUUUUUUAUUUACAUUAAAAAGAUAAUUGUGAAAUUCAAUUUAAUUUGAAUUUAAAAAUUUAUUUAUUUUAUAAAUUAUUUAAGAUUUUAAAAAAAAUAUUUUUUUUGUUUAUUUAUUAAUUUAGAUAAAAUUAUGAAUAAUUAUAGUUUAUUAGUAUAGUGAUAGAAUAUUGAAAGAUUUGAAAAUUAAAAUAUUUUAAAGAAAAAUUAAUUUUUUGUACCUUGUGUAUCAGGGUUUAUUAAAUAAAAAUUAAAUAAAUUUAAUUUUCUCGAAUUUAAAAGAGCUAAAAAAUUAUAUAUUUUAUUGUGAAAUAAAUAUUUAAAAUAAUUUUUUAGAAAUGAAACGUUAGUCGUUUUUAAUGAUAUCUAGUUUUUUAAGAAAUAAAUUUAAUUUAGUUAAUUAUUUAAAUUUAAAUAAUUAUAUAUUUAAAUUAAUAUAAUUAAUUAAUAUUUUAAGGGAUAAGCUUUAAAAUAAACUUUUAUAAAUAAAAUAAGAAUAUAAUAUAAAUAAAUAGGAUUAGAAAUUUUUAUUUUUAAUAGUGUGUUAUAAUAAAUUUAUAUUUAUAUUAAAUUUUUAUAAAAUUUUAAAUUAUUUAUUAAAAUUAUUUAUUUAAUAUUAAAUUAUAUGAAAUAAUGAUAAAAUUAGUAUAAAUUAAUUUUUAAGAAAAUUAUAUUUUUAAGUUUAAAUUAAGGAACUCGGCAAAAUAUUUUUCUGCCUGUUUAUUAAAAACAUGUCCUUUUGAUUAUAAUUUAAGGUCUGACCUGCUCAAUGAAUUUUUAAAUAGCCGCGGUAUUUUGACCGUGCAAAGGUAGCAUAAUCAUUAGCUUUUUAAUUAGGAGCUGGUAUGAAUGGUUGGACAAGAAAAAGACUGUCUCAGUUUAAAUUUAAUUAGAACUUUAUUUUUAAGUUAAAAAGCUUAAAUAAGUUUAAAAGACGAGAAGACCCUAUAGAGUUUUAUAUUAAUUUAUUUA